This 253-nucleotide ribosomal RNA is filed under the name uncultured bacterium. RNAcentral's name for it is "partial 16S ribosomal RNA". It matches the Rfam family "Bacterial small subunit ribosomal RNA", at positions 524 to 776 of the family's 1533-position model. The record is from RNAcentral.
UACAGAGGUGGCAAGCGUUGUUCGGAAUUACUGGGCGUAAAGGGCGCGUAGGCGGCCUUCUAAGUCAGACGUGAAAUCCCCCGGCUUAACCUGGGAACUGCGUCUGAUACUGGGAGGCUUGAGUAUGGGAGAGGGAUGUAGAAUUCCAGGUGUAGCGGUGAAAUGCGUAGAUAUCUGGAGGAAUACCGGUGGCGAAGGCGGCAUCCUGGACCAUAACUGACGCUGAGGCGCGAAAGCCAGGGGAGCAAACGGG